CUUCAUAUGUGAAUCCAAUAAGACUUUGCAACUGGUGAAUCUUCUGUGAAUCAAAACUACAAUUGUCUUUGUUGAAUCUGUUUUGGCACAAAUUUAGCGACUAACCUGUGCCAAAAGUUUUGUAGUUGUCAACAACAAAAAAACUGCUUCUAAAAGCUGCUCUGCAAGCAACCAACAGAGAACAACAUGAGAGCUCUGGUGGGUGGGCUUUUUCUUCCAAUCUACCAGGCGAGGUGUUAUUCUGGAACAUUGUUUCAAACAGGGGGACAGGGCUCAUCUUGAAAGCACACUUUCCACUAUGCUAAAUAUGGAUCAAAUUUGUUGAAAUUACUAAAAUGAUAUUCACAGAAUUUGAAAGCCACAGCAAGACAUUGAUCUGCAAAGCACAACUCUGCCUCUGCUAGUCACACAACCACUGCCUCGGUGGUGGGGUAUCUCCUUCCUGGCUGGCCCUGUCCAGGGGUGACAUUGGACGGGAACAGAGUGUCUCCCACCCCCCCGGUCUCAGUCCCCAGAUCUUGUUUGCAGACUUCUUCCUGGUUAACCUGAUCUUGUGGGUGGAGGGCUUCAAGGCAGCCAUCCCCUUUGGCACGCUGGAGGCCAUCUUGGCUUUGCGGUUUGGCAUCUCCGUGCCCCUUACCUUUGUGGGCGGCUAGCCUACUUCGGCUUCAAGAGGCCUACAAUUGAGCAGCCAUUGCGAACCAAGAGGAUCCCUUGGCAGGUCCAUGAACAUUCUUUCUUUACCAAGCCCGUGCCCAGAAUCGUUAUGGAGGCAUCCAUCCCUUCAGCUGCAUCUUCAUUCAGCUCUUCAUCCUCAACAGUAUCUGGUUUGGGUUCCUGUUCCUGGUUUUCACAAUUUUCCUCAUCACCUGCUCCAAGGGCACCAUCCUGCUGUGCUACUUCCACUAAGGGUUG
Molecule: long non-coding RNA, 915 nt
Filed under: Salmo salar (Atlantic salmon)
Lineage: Eukaryota; Metazoa; Chordata; Actinopteri; Salmoniformes; Salmonidae
Description: lncRNA (ENSSSAG00000119005.1, ENSSSAG00020020639.1, ENSSSAG00075010440.1)
Source: RNAcentral